Oreochromis niloticus (Nile tilapia) is the source of this 153-nucleotide long non-coding RNA. RefSeq lists it as uncharacterized. The transcript is spliced from 3 exons. The record is from RefSeq and is a predicted model, not a curated record. Lineage: Eukaryota; Metazoa; Chordata; Actinopteri; Cichliformes; Cichlidae.
GCUGCAGCGGGAGGGUGGCCCUCACUGGGCAGACAGGAUCCAGUGGGGUCCUGCUGGUUAGCAACCUCAAUGAGGAGAUGGUUACGCCCCAAAGUCUGUUUACCCUCUUCGGAGUGUAUGGUGAUGUCCAGAGGGUGAAAAUUCUUUACAACA